GUUUUGAGCAGCUGAAAUGUGUGAAAUGUCUAAAUUAAUGUUACUUACCAGGUGUUCACAUGUAUAUAACAGAUGUUAUGUGAAAACUGUAUUACUAACUUUUUUUUUUUUUUAACUUUACAGAGUGCCCAAUUCUACAAAGUAACCACAGAGCAAUACCAGAAAGCUGCCGACGAAGUGUCAGCCAGGUUCAAGCGAUAUGAGACUCAACCAGUCUGUGCUGAUCUUCAGGGCAAAAUUCUGCAGUGUUACCAGCAACAUGCUCAGGAGACCCUCAGCUGCUCUGCACUGGCUAGCCAGUACCUGCAUUGUGUCAAUCAUGCCAAACAGAGCAUGCUUGGGAGAGGAGGAUAAAGGCAUUGUCCAAAUCAAGCACAAGACCAUCAACUCUAAUUUCAGCAGAAGAGCAUUUUUUCCCAAGAAUGAUAUGACAGCCCAUUUACAGGGCAGACCAAUAAAGAGAAGAACUGGAAGAGCCAUUUCAAGAGCAGCAGCCAUCACGGCUCAAUCAGUGUGGCCAUUUGAAAAGCCAAGACCUAUAUCUUAUUACAUCAGAAAUCAUACAUCCGAAGACACUGUUCAGUCUUAGUAAAAUCCACUUAUUGGUGAUUGAAGAAAGGAAAAGAAAAGAACCUCUCACUGACCUUAGAAAGGGGAAAUAUCCUUCAAAUGCUGCUAUUUCAUUGCAGAAUCUCCUCAAAAACUUCUCACUGUCAGAGACAUGGGUAUGUAACACUUGGUGUGCCGGACGUGGCAGUGCAUUGUAAGUCAGCUGCUGCUCCUCUCCGUAUUUGUUGCUUAUAUAAAGUUUUUCUUACAGUGGAUAAUGACAUAAAUUUUACUUUAACUUAUUUCGUAAAUGAUGUAGUCUAAUGAAGUCCCUCAUCAGGCCUUCUGCUGGAAUGAUGUUAAUGAUCCAACGCUUACGAUUUAACACGGCCUUCAUGAAAUGAUUCUGUUGUGCUCUUCACUCUGAUAAAGUACUGAUGAAUAUGCCUCGUUCUGUACCAACAAUAAAUAUAUUUUAUGAACAAAGUUAAUGUUUCA
This 1047-nucleotide long non-coding RNA is filed under the name Chrysolophus pictus (golden pheasant). RNAcentral describes it as "lncRNA (ENSCPIG00010001413.1)". The record is from RNAcentral. Lineage: Eukaryota; Metazoa; Chordata; Aves; Galliformes; Phasianidae.